Long non-coding RNA from Varanus komodoensis (Komodo dragon), 558 nucleotides. RefSeq lists it as uncharacterized. The transcript is spliced from 2 exons. The record is from RefSeq and is a predicted model, not a curated record. Lineage: Eukaryota; Metazoa; Chordata; Lepidosauria; Squamata; Varanidae.
UCGAUACGGUCGGAGCUCCGCUCGCCGCCCUAACCCUGUCGCCUCCUCCGUGCUCUUCGAUUCCCGCGCUGCUCGCCUGCGGAGGGGAGUAGGCGAAAGCGGGAGGGAAAGCGGAGGCGGAAAGCAGGCGUGAUGGGGAAAGGCGAGCGGUCGGGGGAAGCAAAGGAGAGAAGUCCGCUUGUAGCGCAAACUUUGCAGUGCUAAAACGAGUGAAAUCGGGUAUACCUAAGGCCAUGACUCCUCCAUGGUAAAUGGUCCCGAGAGUCGUUAAGAUUGCCAACUUAUUUCUUGACAGAGUUCCUGUGCCUGGCUAGUAGCCAAAACUCCAGCAGCAGGUGAAGCGUUUCCUGUCUCCGCAUUCCGUGCUCUGAAAACGCUGAAUUCUGCCGUCAAGCAGUUCUGCCCGACAUGCACCCAAGUUCUGCUCGAGUUUUCUUUUGCAACCGCCGGGCCUCUCAAGUCAAGGCCACAACGUGUGCGUUACGCGGAUUCCCCGGAGCCACGGGUGUAUCGAAGUCAUAGAGCAAACAGAAUAAAACAAACAGUGGCCUGAAUAUA